UCUCGAUCUCCUGACCUCGUGAUCCACCUACCUUGGCCUCCCAAAGUGCUGGGAUUACAGGCGUGAGCCACUGCGCCCGGCCAGAGGCAGGUCUUAAAACUAGCAACUGGGUGAGAAAUCAGUGGGGAGGGUAGGCUUUGACAAAGUAAGAGAUAAAGAGUCUGCUUUCAUAUUUUAGAAAAACCCAGGGAAUGCUGAAAAGCCCAUAGGAAAGAAGAAAUAUGCUGUCAAGAUGUUAGUGAGCCAAGGCCCAGGAGUUUGCUCUCAAAAACAGAUGAGAAACUGGACUUAAAAUCUGACUGGGAGAAAGUACUUUAGGCAAAACAAACUACUCAUAUACAAAAGGAUGGGCUCUGAAGCAGAGAGUGAAGGCAAUAGCUUCAAGAUCGGUGGAUUUAAAACCUAGAAGUAUCUUCUCUAAAAGAUAAAAGAUUAAGAAAGGCUUUAAGAUAGCUAGAGCAGGAAUAAAGUAGUCAAGUGAAUGUGAUACCACAAGGUUCCAGAAGUUUCCAUACUAAUAGAAACAGAUACUAAGUGAAGUUUGAGGGGCCCUCACAAUCUGGAUAGAAAACUCUUCAAGUAGAUCUCAACCUUCAGGCUGGAAUAUCUUUGCUUAGCUAUCCCAGCCAGAGGACCAUAGUGGUUGAUUUCAAAAGGAGUUGCAAUUAUUCUAUCUUGUAAAUUCUCUCAUUGUUAAGUUUUGUCACAGUUUGUUGUUGCUACUUUCUUUCAGUUACCUAGAAAAUGUUUUCUCUGAAAACCUCUAUCCAUGCCUCAACAGAUCGGAGAUAAAAAAGGAAUCAUCUUACAAGAUUAUCAAGAAAGAUAAUGGGCUAGGUGUAUCCUUAAAAGUCCCCUCCCUUCAACAAUUAUAUACAGUACACUAUUUGUUGGAAGCUCAGGAGAAAAAGGGCAUUUAAGAGCAUGAGAUUUGGUGGCAGACUGACCUAAUAGUAGAUGGUACCAGUGAGAUCUUGAGCAACGUAAAUGUUUCAACUGAAAAACGAAAACCUUUUUUUGGAAAGAAUCGAAACUAAAAACCCAACUAUUUAAAAAAUGGAAACUUUUGGCCGGGAACGGAGGCUCACACCUAUAAUCUCAGCACUUUGGGAGGCCGAAUGGGCGGAUCACAAGGUCAAGAGAUUGAGACCAUCCUGGCCAACGUGGUGAAACUCCGUCUCUACUAAAAAUACAAAAGUUAGCUGGGCAUGGUGGCACAUGCCUGUAGUCCCAGCUACUCGGGAGGCUGAGGCAGAAGAAUCGCUGGAACCCAGGAGGCGGAGGUUGCAGUGAGCCGAGACAGCACCACUGCACUCCAGACUGGCGACAGAGUGAGACUCCAUCUAAAAAAAAAAAAAAGGAACCUUUUGCCUUACUUCGUUUGCUAGCUACAUUCAAGUCUGCAAUUAAGCUCGGUGUUUUGCCUUUCUCAAACUGUGCACAGGUCCUCUUGUUUGUUCCCCUUCUCUCUGUUGCCUAGGAAUACAGCCAAAAACUUGAGUAAUAGAUGAUAGAUGGGUCUGUCACUAAGCACAUCCUAGUGACAUAGAUAAGAAGCAAAUGCUACAAAAUUAUAGGUGCAAACUACAAGUUGUGUUUUAAUUGGUUUUAACAAGUACUUAUAAGCAGAAGAACUGUGAAAAAUCUAACAUUUUGUCCUACUUGCAAGCCUGCCAGUCUUUUGAGUGCUGGGCAAAGACACAAUAGUGCUGGGUCAGAGACAAUUAACUUUACUACUCACAUUAAUAGCAUUAGCAAGAGUAUCAUGAUUUUCUUGCACUGAUUCCUCAAGCCGCAAUUCCCACAGAAAAGCUCAGGUGACACCUACAUGCUCAGUGGGUUGCAUUAGAAAAGAGGAACGCAGAGCUCAGGAAACAUGGAUAUUUUAUAAUGGCCAGUAAAGAUGUCCCUUUGCUUUAGAAAGAGGCACUACCUCUAUCCAAGGCUGCAAGCACACCUGCCUUUUGUUUUAGAAGGAGAAAUGAUUUCUAUCUUCCAAGGCUGUUCACUAUAUGAAAAGACAGUCCCAAACAAAAGGCAGUUACUGACUUGCUUGAAAAAUGUGCAGAAAUGAUACGCUGCUUGAAUGUGGACAGCUGACACAGGGACAAGGAGUAAAAAUGAUUAGGUUUUGAGCUUGACCAACUAGGAAGAUAAUUAUUAGCAGUAGAGAAAAAAAGAACAAAGUAGAUUUUAGGGCAGAUAAGCCAUUUUUUAGGUAGGUUGAGUCUGAGAUGCCUCCAUAAAUAUAAGUUGAAAAUAUGAGAUUGGAGUUGAGACUUCAGAAAUACAUAUUUUGAGUAGUUACACUACAGAGGUAAGUCAUCAGAGUUCAUAAAAUUAAAGUGAGAAAAAGAGGCAAGUGAAGAAAAACAAGAUGGCAUUGCAUGAAGAACUUUCUUAGGAAGGAAGGCAGCAAAGAGGUAAAAUUGGAGGUGUAGUCAGAGAUGGAAGAUGAAAAAGGAAAAUAACAAUAUUUCAGAAAUGAAAUGAAAAAGGUCUUUUACUAAGUAAUUGGUACUACUACUUGUCAGUUUCAAGUGCUGUAAAAAAAAUGGGAAGAACCACACAUGUGCACUUUCAGUACUAUGUAUUUUAUGCUUCAGGGAUGCAUACCUGUUUAACAAAAGUAUGUUUUUUCUCAAAGUGUGUUGAAUAGUCCAGAAAAAGAUGGAGGUAGAAGUCAGACUUCAGGAGAUAAAGGAACCAGAAAGAUCAUUGAAGGCUGUGAUGGUAGAAAACAUUUUGACAAAGAGUUGUGCAAUGAGAAAGCUAGGGGUGGGACAAUUAAUUUUGAGGGUAACAAUUGGGGAUUUGAGUAGAUUUUUUGCUUCUGUUCUUUAAUUGUUUUGUCUUCUUUUUAAAGAAACCAAGAGACUGUUAAUGUAGUAGGAGCAGAGUUUCACAAUACAGAGCAGAGAGGGUGUUGGUUGAUAAAGAAUUGUCUCAAAUGAGAGGAAAAGAAUGGAGCCAAUAACAGAGAUGAUGUUUAAUUUGGGAAAGGUGGGACAUGUUAACAUGAGUCCAGAGAACUAAAAUGAGCUUAUGGCAUGCAGAUGCUGAAGAUGAAGAAAGGAAAGGAAGGAAAAGGAGGAAUUUAUAUUUAUUUAUUGAAUAAUCUUGUAAAACUGUUAAUCACCCCUUUUUACUGACGAUAAGACAUAAAUGUCAGAGGUGUUUUGCCUAAAGUAAAAAAUUCGAUAGUCAAGCUGGGUUUAAAACCAUAUCAGUCUUACGUCAAAGCAUGUUUUAAUUGCUGUUGUGUGGUUGUGAUUUUAAGGGAAGAAGAAGAGUUUUAUAAUGGGUUCUCUGAAAAAUAAAAUAUCAAUUAGAAAGAAACAAAACAACUGCUGAGAAGCAGUGAAUCCAAGCAGAAUCUGAGUAUCAUCACUUUUUAGUUAAACUAACCAGUCCAAUAUCCUGAUUUUUCUUUAACAGGCAAAGAAUUUUUGAGUCUUUCCCAUAGACUGAGUUCUUGUGAACUAUUUUACAGCAAUAAUGGCAUCCAAUCCUAUAGAUAACAAUAACAAAGCUGCAGACCAUUUUGUUGCCAGGUUUCUCCUCCAGGGUGGCUUUCCAGCUAGUUUGUAAACAAAUAACUCAGGUGGCCCUGUCAUGUUACAUUAACUAAAAACCAAGUCUAAAGCACACAUAUAAUAACAUAUGUGUGUGCAAACUGGCUUGCUUUCAAAUUCCUAAAUCAUACAAUUAAAUUUUAAAAAUAACUGUAUUUGGAAACAAGAAAAAAGUCACUUUGACACCCAACUGAUGUAUAUAAAGGAGACUGUGCAUAUGGGUUUUAAAAUGAGAUGAAAAUUGAAAUUUGAUCUUUGAGAUUAAAAACAAUGUUAUGUAAAUCUAUUUUUAUUUAAUUUUUCUGAAAAAUAUUGUAUUUGCUUUAUACCCUCUUGCUAUACAAACUUAUAUUGUUUUGCUUACCCUCUUUUUUUAUUCCUCCUACUUUUUCUUAAUUUUGAUAUCUCUGAAUUUAAAGUCUAGAGAAUGAUUCAUCUUCACUAGUUCUAUCUUUUCCAGUGCUAGUAUUUUUGUUUUUGAGCUGUGGUUUCCCUAUCCCAUUUUUGAGAUCUCAAACUAUAAUUUGGUGUCGAGUACCCAGGUAUCUUAUCUUUAAAGUGAAGACGUAGGCAGCACAAAGGUGCUUUUAUUAGAACGUCCACUAGAUCAGAAUGACCAGUGCACAAAAUUUAUUUUCCUAGCAGACUCACCAAAUUUAACCUGGAAGAGAAUGUCUGACUCUGUUGAAUUUUCUUAGGCAAAUACAAUAUUUGAAAGUCACUGAAUGUUUCAAACAAAAUAUAACAACAUUCAGAUAACAGAACUGUGUUAUUGUUCUCAUGUGUUUAUGCCCAGAAAAUAAGCAGACUGGAGCUUCUCUAAGAUUAAAAGUCAAAACAGUAUUACAAUUCCAGCCCAGAUUUGACUAUCUAAUCAUUUAAACCUUAGUAUCAUCAUCAUCACCACCGUCACUGCAUACUCAUUAAGUUAAAAAAAAUUCCUUUAAAAUAAAUGGAAAAGAAAAUAUCUGUGUAAAUAGAUUAAAGCGAUUCCUGCUCACCACUCCCUUUCUCCCUGGGGCAGGAGACUUGAGCACAUCAAAGGAACUCAUAGCGUUCUUGGAGUAAGUGUGAAAGCCACCGUGAUGAACUAAAUGAAUGCUUACAUCUAAAGAAAGAUGUAAACAUAUUACAUUAAAAGGUGGCAUGACAUAAUGGUAUAUCACUGAUUAAGAAAUGUGAGGCGACUUUCAUGUGCCACUGAUAAAUCAUUAUAAUUUGACAUAGUAGAUAAUGCCCCUAUAUUUCAUCUGCAUACCUGGAAAAUGAGGACUUUCAAAACAUAUUCCUGCCAGUUACAGUCAGGUAUUGCAAAACAAGCAUUUAGUGAGCAUCUAAACUGAAGCUUAGAACUUCAGUUUUGUGGCGGGGCGCGGUGGCUCACGCCUGUAAUCCCAGCACCUUGGGAGGCCAAGACAGGCGGAUCACUUGAGGUCAGGAGUUUGGGACCAGCCUGGCCCACAUGGUGAAACCCCAUCUCUACUAAAAAUACAAAAAUUAGCCAGGCAUGGUUGCACGCACCUGUAGUCCCAGUUACUCAGGUGGCUGAGGCAGAAGAAUCGCUUGAACCUGGGUGGUGGAGAUUGCAGUGAGCUGAGAUCCUGCCACUGCACUCCAGCCUGGGCAAGAGAGUGAGACUCCAUCUCAAAAAAAUAAAGAACUCCAAUUUUAUUUUCUUCAUGGCAUAGCAUAAUAGAUGAGUUAACAAAUUAAUGAAACAGAUUGACAUGUGUUAAUUGCAAUCAUAUACAGAACAGAAAUCAUUUCCAUAAAAUAUUUAACCUGCCUGUUACUUCCCCUAAAUCUCUCUGUAGCUGAUGCCCCAAUUUCACUAUUAGCUCUUCAGACUUGGAUGUUAAGCACUGUGCCUUCCCCUGGACCUCUCUUUAAAUGUCACAGCUAUUUCUGGCAGGUAAGACUAUUGCUUUGGUUAGUGUGAACACACACCACUGUGGAUCACAAGGCACCUGAGAGAAAAGGCUGCCGAAAGCAGGAAAAUAACUCAGAAAAAAGAAAAAAAAACACAUGGUGCUGAAAAAUACAACAGAUAUGCAUUUGUAUACUUAUGAUCUAAUUUAUGUCAGUCAUUAAAAGAAAAUAAGGUGUUUAGAAAAUACAGUGCUGUCUAUGGUUAUAUUUAAUAUUGUGACCACUUAAUACAAAGCAAAGCAUUCUUGCUUGCUCUCAUGGAGAGUGCAAUUUAGAAUUGAGAGCUCAAUUUCUAAGGAGGGUUUAUGUACUCUAUCUUGAGGCACACCAAGGAGAUUGAGUUUACCAGUUUAGAAAGCACUGCCAUAAUUCAAGUCAGGGAGAGGGCUGAUGGAAGAUUUUUAAAAGAUUUUAAAAGAUCAUGAGGGCAAGCUGGCUUUUAACAAAACAAAAUAUUUCCAUGUGGCUUCUGGCUGACUGAAUUAAUAAGGCCCAGAGACUGAUCUGAAGGCAAAAGCCUUUAUUUUUUAUUGCAAUGGAGAAAAACUGAACAUUAUUUGACUAUCAGUUGUGAAGUUUAGUAAAAAGAUUUUCACUAAUGGGUGGUUUUAAUAUUUAUGAAUGUGAUGGUUCAGCAAAUUUUCUCCAAUGUUUUGCAAGACCACUAAUUAAUAAUCAUCUUUACAAAUGGAACAUGUAAUUGUCUGCUACUAUUUUUUCUUUGCCAAUGCUUAAUACUUAUUUUGAAUACGUUUUAUUUUUUUUCUAAAUUUCUCUAUUUAUUUCUACCUGAGCAUUUCUUAAUUUUUUUAUUCAGUCCUGUUAUUCUCACUGUAGGAUUUUUAAAAGCUGGUAUAUUAUAUUAAAAUCCUUCAACUGUGAAUUCAGCAAUGUUUUGAGUUCCAGGGAUUCAUCUGGCAUUAGGCUGACCUUGUCAAGCAUAAACAUCAACAUUAAAGAAAAUAUUUAAGAAAUGAAAGGCCUGAAUCAAAAUAAGAGGUCAAAUUUUCCAGGGUGUUUUGUGUCUUGAAAAUCUUUCUGCUGUAAUUACCUAAAGACUGUGGUUAGAUAAUUAUUGAGGGACUUUUGCAAUUGUCCCUUUUCUCUAUAUAGAUCACCACAUUAAUUAAACGAGAGUCUCACUGGGAACAGGUUGCUGUUCUGCAUCUUUAAGUAUUUUUAGUACUUUAUUUUCAAAAGAGAAAAAGAACCACUAAGAAGAAGAUUGCUUCUCAGCCAAAUUUUCUGAUAUACAGAUAUUCUCAAAAGACAAGCACACACACACACGCACACACACACACACACACACACACACACACCCCCCAAGGCUCUGGAAUGUGCCUUAACAAUCUUAUUUUUGCACAUUUUAAAAGGAGGUCAUUAUGAAAUUUGCACAUAUUUUAUGACCUGUAAUGUACUUCUCUGAUCUGAUUUCACUUGAGCUAAUAAAAAAAUACAAAUCAGGUGCUUGCUGUGAUCAAGAUGCUAAAGUUAUAUUUACACUGCUUCAUAAAUGUAAGGUGUUAAAGCUUAGUGAGACAAGAAGUAAACUGAUAAUUGAUUAACCAGGGUGCUAUACAAAUCUACCUAGAGGGUGCCUUCCCAGGUUAAUGCAAUUAUGGGAGAAAGAUCCUGGCUCCUGGCUACAGAAAUGCCAACUAAAGUGUUAUCCACCCCAUCCUUCACUUUGGAGGAUGCGUUAAGAUGACACUGUGCUGUGUCAAAAUGAAAAUACAAACAAAAGCAAAUAAACCGAGUGAUAAUAAAUAAACCGAGUGACUCAGUUUCCUUAUCCAUUUUCCAGUUACCUUUUUUUUUUUAGGCCAGUCUGCAUGUCCACUAGAAGAAAAGGGACCUGGGUUCUUCAUCAGCCCAUCCUUAGAUCUUAGUGCACAUAUGCACCUAGUAAGUGCCGAGCAAAUAUUCAAUGAAUGACUGUACCUUUCCUAAGAAUUCUUCGUUGAUUAUCCUUCAACAGAGCUAACUUCUCUCCCUAUGUGCUCAGUCAAAUGCUCUCCCAUUGGACUGAGUUCAGCAUAAACUGCCAUGUUUUGAGAUGAUUGGUGUAAGCGAAUGUCCUCUCCUGAGUUGCGAGAAUCUAAGAGCAGGACAACAUCACAUGCUUCUCUACUUUCUAUAGUUCUUUUGUCCACUGUCUAACAAAUAAUGCCAAGUGAAAAAGGGAAAAAUGAAUGAAUAAAUUUUGUAAGAUGCCAAUGGAAAAAAACAGAAAAUCAAGAGUUACUAAAAAAAACCACUAACUCCAUUUAAUUGUUUUAGACUAAGAAUCCCUCAGUGAUACCUAGCCAAAAUUAGGAUUCAGAUCCAAAAUAAAAGAUACUGUUGCCCCAAGUAGAUAUCAUAAUUUGUUACAAUAAGUAAAAAUGUAUAUUAUUCAAUACUAAACUGUUAUACCACAUUUCAAGUUUUUAAAACUUUAUCUUCCUUUUAUGCAUAGAUAGUAGUAGAGCAUUAAGAACAUGCAUGGCUAUCACCUGAGGUGUUGAUUGUAAAUUCACAUUCCUAGGCUUUGUCUCUUAACUACUGAAUCGGAAUCUUUGGGAGUGAACUGACAGGAAUCUGAAUUUUAAAAAUAAGGUCUUCAGGUGAUUCUCAUGCAUCUAAAGAUAACUGCUUUAAUAUAUAACAAAGAAACCCAAAGAGGGACACUUGAGGAUUUUUUCAAUAUAUCUUCUUUUGCAGAGAUUAAUAGUGAAUGUUGUUUUAUCUGCUGUUUAGAAUUUUACAUAUGCAUUGGAUGAUACAUCUUCUUUUACUGACAAAAAGGCUUUUCUCUGGAGAAAAUAAAAAGGCAGCUUUCCCUGAGAGCACACACUUCUAGCAAAGCCCCAAUCCAUAUGACUCUAAGACAGAGUGAUUUCCACCUUCUAGUCCUUACUUUCUUGCAAAAGGGGCUUUCAAAUCUCAUUACUGAUGGUCCCAUCUUUUAUUACUGGUGUUAUCAAUGGGAUGCUUGCAGCAGCUUAAGUAUGUGGAUAAAGAAGGAAUGCACAAUAUACGGUACUGAAUAUUUUUAAAAAGUGGUCUUUCAGAAUGUCUGUAUGUGUGGGGGCCCAUGCUUAGGCAUAUGUGCAUGCCAGUGUGUUAUUUAUGUUGAAACCAAUGUUUUACAUUAAUGGCUGGAAUUCCAGAAAAAUAAGAAAAUAUUUGUAUUUUCUAAACCAUUAAAAGUUUAGUGGAACUCAUUAAUAGUCUGUAUCAUCUCUCUGUAUAUUUCAGAAGUACAUUUUAAGUGUAACAGCUAGGGGUAAACUUUCAUAACUGUAUGAUUUGAACACAAGUACAAGAAAUAUUCAAGGUUUUCUUUUCUUUUUUUUUUUUAGAUGAAGUCUCACUCUUAUCGCCGUAGCUAUAGUGCAAUGGCGCUGUCUCAGCUCACUGCAACCUCCGCCUCCUAGGUUAAAGCAAUUCUCCUGCCUCAGCCUCCGUAGUAGCUGGGAUUACAGGAUCCUGCCACCACACCCACUAAUUUUUGUAUUUUUGGUAGAGAAUGGGUUUCACCAUGUUGGACAGGCUGGUCAUGAACUCCUGACCUCAGUCGAUCCACCCGCCUUGGCCUCCCAAAGUGCUGGAUUACAGGUGUCCACCGCGCCUGGCCAAUAUUCAAGUUUACACAGGAAAAAGAAUACUUUCUCUGCAUAACCUUUACUUAUUUACUCAUAAGCCUCUAGUUCUCUCUGGAUUUGACUGUAAAUCUCAACACAUUUCCCAGAAACUAACAUCUUCUGGCUGACUUCUAUUAAAAAUUCAGACAAAGAAAAAAACUGAAUACAAUGGAGAGAGAUUAUAAUACUGCUAUUCUCCCAUUCUCUCUCUCUACAGCAUAUCACCUCCUCCAAAAUCAGUUCAUAUCUAACUCCUAGCACAUUUUUAGUUAAAAAUAUACAUGCACAAAAUAUAUGUGUAAAUACACAUGCUGAUAUCACACAUAUGUGUGUGUGUGUGUGUAUAUAUAUAUACACAAAAGCAGAUAUAUAUAUAUAUAUAUAUAUACACAAAAGCAGAUAUAUAUAUAUGCUUUCUU
Molecule: long non-coding RNA, 9549 nt
Filed under: Homo sapiens (human)
Lineage: Eukaryota; Metazoa; Chordata; Mammalia; Primates; Hominidae
Description: HSALNT0074980
Source: RNAcentral